UUCCUGGGGAGGCUGCCGCCUCCCUCUUCACCCUCUAGCAGGUUCAGGGUGCUGAGCCCCGCCUGCACCGCCCAGGGCUGGGGCCCUGCGAGGUAACUGAUGGGCGGAGGUAAGAAAGGAGGAAGCGAGUUUUUGAAAAGCGAGUCUGUUCAGGCCCUCGACUCGGCUCCCCACCCGCUCCCGGGCUCCCUGGGCGCCCUCCGGGUCUCACACCUGGGCCUUGGUCGGGGUGGAGCCCAUUCCAGGUGCCUGCACCCGCGCCCGGGAUGGGGCCGCCCCGGCUCGGGUGUCUCCCCAGCUGGAGGCCCGUUCCCAGCUUUGCGGAGGACUUGCCCAAGGAAGCACCGGUUGGUGUCCUAACGACCAGGUGGCAGGGAGGUGGUCCGCCUCUGCUGAGAGCCCCAGAGCUGCUGCCCAAGGCCUGGCUCUGGGGAGGGUGAACCACAGCUUGGGAGGGCGACUCUAACCUGCGACCCUGCGUGGGGCCGUUGCCUGGAGGUUUGCUCUGGAACUGAGCUGCUGGGACCCAGCCCGAUUCUAAACACAGAGGGAGAAGGUUGCCCUUCUCCUCUCUCAACCUUACAUUGUUCUGAAUUCCAAGACCGGUCAGGCCAGGGUCCCUUUCUCCAGUGUGUGUCCAGCCCUUUGAAGUUCAAGUCCUGAGAAAAGCUGAUAGGCAGCUGGCCGGGUGUCAGAGAAUCUAGCGGAGGACAGAAGGCGCCUCCUACUGGGAAUCUGCCUUGUCCAGGAUGGAAAAUAGACACCCUGCUGGUAAUUGCAAUCAAGCUCACUUACAAACUGCUGACUUCAUGGGUACACAUGGUCCCCAUGGGUGUAUACUUACAGAGUGGUCACACGUGGGUAUUUUUUCCCGUUGUUGCUUCUUAAUGGCAACAGUUCAACAGGACCCUCGUGUCUAUAAAGAAGCCAAUUUGGGGCUGUCCUGUGAUUUGGGGGUGGGAAAGGCAUUUAGAGAAACAGAGUAAUGGUCUCCAUAAGUAUAUCAAUAACUGGUAUUCCUCACAUCCUUACUGCGGAUCAAGCACCAGGUUACCACCUGCUGCCCUUGCACCAUCUCAUUUAAUCCUCAUAACAACCCUGGAGAUGGUUAUCAGUUAUGCCCACUUUAUAGAACAGAAAGCUGAAGCUUAAAGGGUUGAGGUCAUUUGCCCAAAGUCAUACAGCUGAGAAGUGUCAGGAGCUUGACCCAAGUUGGUCCCCUCCAGAGCCUGUGCUCUCCCUGCUAUAGAAAAAUCACUUGUCAUGUUCUGGGCCCUGAGACAAGCUUCCCCUGCUUUUCCUAUCUGUCACUCAGGAAGAAGACACCAGUGUCGCACUCUGCAUAGUGGUGUCAUUUUUUACAAGUCUGCCUCCUGCUCUCCUGAGGACUGGGACCCCUGCGCCCCCAUACUGGCCCCCUGCAGGUGAGGCUAAGACUCAGAGGAGUUACGUACCUGGAUCCAUUAGCAGGUGGUAGAGCCAAGAAUUGAACCAAGGACCAAUAUGAGGAUUAGGUGAACCAGAAUGUGAAAAAGUGCCUUAUAAAUGGUCCAGUGACAUCUGAACAUGAGUCGUUUGGGGCAUUAACUUGUCCAGCUCUGAAAGUCUGGAUUUGAGGAGGACUGGAUGCUGUUCCGAGCAUUUCCUGGCGUACAUUUUGACUUGCUCUGCCUGAGUGAGCAAGUAACUAAUUUAAAAUAUUCGACUGUCUCUGGUCAGUGACUGACCACAAUCUGUCAUAAAGUAAGGCUGAAAAAUUCACUUAGAGGAAGAGAUCAUCUUGCAGAAGAACUCACAUGUGUGCUCAAGAAGAUGUGUUCAAGGAUUUCCAUUGCUGAUUAUUUAUAAUGGUGAAAAAUCAUUGUCAAGCUAAAUGCCACCAAAAAGAGAUAAGCUAAAUGCCACCAAAAAGAGAUAUGCUAAAUUAAUUAUGGUGCAGGCUCAUACUGGAAUACUAUGCAGUCAUGAAGAGAGAAGGCACCAUCUCACAGGGAUGAAUAUCCAAGAUGGACCAUUAACUGAGAAAAGCAAGAGACCAAGAAUUUUGAUGCCACACAAAUGGUGUUUUUGUUUGUUUGUUUGUUUGUUUUUUGCGGUAUGAGGGCCUCUCACUGCUGUGGCCUCUCCC
This is a long non-coding RNA of Aethalodelphis obliquidens (Pacific white-sided dolphin), 2128 nucleotides long. RefSeq lists it as uncharacterized. NCBI's taxonomy places the organism in Eukaryota, Metazoa, Chordata, Mammalia, Artiodactyla, Delphinidae. The record is from RefSeq and is a predicted model, not a curated record. The transcript is spliced from 3 exons.